RNAcentral lists this unclassified non-coding RNA (334 nucleotides) under Hevea brasiliensis (rubber tree). Lineage: Eukaryota; Viridiplantae; Streptophyta; Magnoliopsida; Malpighiales; Euphorbiaceae. The record is from RNAcentral.
GUGCAAUUAUGCAAAAUUUGCUAUAUUAUACAAAUAUGAAUUUUUUGUUUGCUAUAUGUGAAAGUUAUCCUAAAAACAAGGGCUUAGGCCCAAAAUAAUAAAAUACAACAUACUAAGAAGGAACAUAUAAAAAUGAAAAUGGAUUUCUUGAUGAAAAUCUUCAACUCUAGCCUGUCCGAAUUCUUUCAACUUGGGACAUGUACGCCUUUUCUGGUGAGCUUGGUUCGACAUUAAAAGAGAAGGACAACUUAUACUUAGGGAGUUUGGGUUUUAAACUACCCAAAAUGCGUAGGAGAUUUAGAUCCGAUGGACUCCGACGACGCUUACAUGCAGC